RNAcentral lists this long non-coding RNA (1201 nucleotides) under Equus asinus (donkey). RNAcentral describes it as "lncRNA (ENSEASG00005035899.1)". The record is from RNAcentral. Lineage: Eukaryota; Metazoa; Chordata; Mammalia; Perissodactyla; Equidae.
UGUAGGUAUCUAUGCAUUUGAAGAAGCAGUCACCUCAUCUAGACUUUAUGGACUGACUUUGUGUUUGGGAAACAUUUCCAGUUUGGUUGAGAAGGAAUUCGGACAUUUUUCUGUAGCCUGUCUGAAUUGACAGCCUCCAGCUGUGUUGCUAAGCAGUCUGUGGAUGGUCAUGAAGUUAUCUAUAAAAGAGAGCAAUUCACCCAGUUUAACAACCAACGGUCCUGUUACGUGGCAUCUGCAUGGUGUUGUCAUCUUUCUAGUAAGAAUGUGGAAAUGGAUAUGGAUACGCAUUAAUAAUGUUGGAGUUCCACGUGAGGUAAACAGGAGCUGUUUUGUUUUAGAUAUUGAAUGACUAUUUGAAAUUUCACCUCCUACACCAAGACUUCGUUUUUCACACAGUAUGCCAGACACAAAAUCAUCCCGAGAUGAAUAUUUGAAGUCAUUAACGAUGGUGAUUGUGCAACAAACUCUAAGAAAGAAACGGAGUAGAUUUAUGUCUCAGUGAUUUCUGAAUUUUUUGUGUUCUGCUACAAAUGUCAAAAACAUGCAGUAAAGAUUAAGCUCUGUCAGUUUUGCAUAAUUGGAUGGAACUGAGAAGACCUGGGUUGUAUCUUUGCUAUGAUUCUAGUGUAACUCAUUGUGCAAAUCAUUUUUAACCUCUUUGGACCUGUUACUUUAUUAGUAAGAUAAAGGGACUGCGUUGGUGGAUCUCUGCAAUCUUAUUCUGAAAUGGUAUGACUCUAUUUAAGACUAAUUUCUUUCUCAAUAAUCUUUGGCCUUUUUUGGUAUCAAACUUUUUUUUCCUUUAGCAUAGAUUCUUUUUGCUUUGGGGGCUACACAAAGUCUAAGAGAGUUGCAGAAUUUGGCCCUCUUGGGGAACAGCAGGUCUAGCCAAGCUGCCCAAGUGGGAGGCUCUUGGAAGUCAGGAGGCAGCAUGAGAUCUGGGGUGUCUGGAGGUGUAGUGGAGAAAAAGAAAGGGGUGAAAGCCACUGAGGAUAAACUUUACUUGGUUCACUGUUUUGCCCACGGCUCUGUGUGAUUGAUUUCUGUGGGAGAGAAAUUUGAGGAAGUAGAAUCAUGGAAGCAUAGAAAUGUUAUAGUGAUUCUACUUUCUUUUGUCAUAAUAAAACCGUUUCUAGCAACUAGUGCUCUGCUGAGCCAUAUUGGAACCAGAGGCAAAAGGAUACUAAUAUUACCUUUA